This 254-nucleotide ribosomal RNA is filed under the name uncultured bacterium. Its description in RNAcentral is "partial 16S ribosomal RNA". It matches the Rfam family "Bacterial small subunit ribosomal RNA", at positions 524 to 776 of the family's 1533-position model. The record is from RNAcentral.
UACGUAGGGGGCGAGCGUUGUCCGGAUUUAUUGGGCGUAAAGGGCGUGUAGGCGGUCUGGUAGGUCGGGGGUGAAAACCCGGGGCUCAACCCCGAGGAGUGCCUCCGAUACUGCUGGACUUGAGUGCUCUAGAGGGCAGUGGAAUUGCCGGUGUAGCAGUGAAAUGCGUAGAGAUCGGCAGGAACACCAGUGGCGAAGGCGACUGCCUGGGGAGUAACUGACGCUGAGGCGCGAAAGCUAGGGGAGCGAACAGG